CCACUGUAAAUGUGAUAUCUCCA
RNAcentral lists this small nuclear RNA (23 nucleotides) under Arabidopsis thaliana (thale cress). Its description in RNAcentral is "snRNA_14402". The record is from RNAcentral. Lineage: Eukaryota; Viridiplantae; Streptophyta; Magnoliopsida; Brassicales; Brassicaceae.